AGAGGAAUAGCUGGGUCAAAUGGUGGGGUUCCAUUCCCAGACUUCCAAGGAAUCUCCAUACUGCUUUCCAAAUUGCCUGCUCCAAUUUGCAGUCCCACCAGCAAU
This 105-nucleotide microRNA precursor is filed under the name Marmota monax (woodchuck). The record is from RNAcentral. Lineage: Eukaryota; Metazoa; Chordata; Mammalia; Rodentia; Sciuridae.